Molecule: ribosomal RNA, 585 nt
Filed under: uncultured Photobacterium sp.
Lineage: Bacteria; Pseudomonadati; Pseudomonadota; Gammaproteobacteria; Vibrionales; Vibrionaceae
Description: bacterial SSU rRNA
Rfam family: Bacterial small subunit ribosomal RNA
Source: RNAcentral
CCGAGCGGCAGCGACUUAACUGAACCUUCGGGGAACGUUAAGGGCGGCGAGCGGCGGACGGGUGAGUAAUGCCUGGGAAUAUGCCCUGAUGUGGGGGAUAACUAUUGGAAACGAUAGCUAAUACCGCAUAAUCUCCGAUCUUUUACGAGAUGGGAGCAAAGAGGGGGACCUUCGGGCCUCUCGCGUCAGGAUUAGCCCAGGUGGGAUUAGCUUGUUGGUGAGGUAAUGGCUCACCAAGGCAACGAUCCCUAGCUGGUCUGAGAGGAUGAUCAGCCACACUGGAACUGAGACACGGUCCAGACUCCUACGGGAGGCAGCAGUGGGGAAUAUUGCACAAUGGGGGAAACCCUGAUGCAGCCAUGCCGCGUGUGUGAAGAAGGCCUUCGGGUUGUAAAGCACUUUCAGUAGGGAGGAAGGUAGUGUAGUUAACACCUGCAUUAUUUGACGUUACCUACAGAAGAAGCACCGGCUAACUCCGUGCCAGCAGCCGCGGUAAUACGGAGGGUGCGAGCGUUAAUCGGAAUUACUGGGCGUAAAGCGCAUGCAGGCGGCUGUUAAGUCAGAUGUGAAAGCCCGGGGCUUAAC